Solea senegalensis (Senegalese sole) is the source of this 814-nucleotide long non-coding RNA. RefSeq lists it as uncharacterized. The transcript has 3 exons. Lineage: Eukaryota; Metazoa; Chordata; Actinopteri; Pleuronectiformes; Soleidae. The record is from RefSeq and is a predicted model, not a curated record.
UUCUUCAACUGCAACCCAGCAGCCUGCUUAGCUCCAGAGAAAUGCGAUUCUUCCACAUCUCUGCUGUGCAGCCAUGUCCACCACAGCAGACUUCGUGGCUGAGAGAGAACUGGGAAACUGACAGCUCAAGCGUGAUCGUGACAGGUUGGCGUAAGAUGCUGCAUGGAGCACCUCACAGCUGAGAGAAGGAAAUACUCCAGAGGAGAUGAGAAUCCUAUCCUGCAGAGCUCAAGAGCUGGGAAGCUUGUUGUUGCCGAGUGCAGGAUUUAAAAGCACACCAGUGAAACCUAUUGCUGUCCUUGGUGCUGAAAUUGACACCUUUAUUUUGAUUUGCUCUGUGAUUGACCAGUCUGUUUCUUUGCAGAAAUUAUGCUCCCACACCAAAGACAGAAGAUGCUCUUGGAAGAGCUGGGUCUUCAAGAGCUUCUUGAAGAUAGACAGGGACAGCACUAGGCAGGUCAUUCCAUGUGCUGGUGCCACACUUGAACCCGAACACGAAGCACACGCACUGUAAAUUAAGACAGUGAACCGCGCUCGUUGUCUUUGGCUUAGUGCUGUUUUUUCCCUCUGACCUCUCAACUCUUGUUGUGAAAUAUUUGCAUGAUGUACAGUCCUGGUAUUUUGUUUAAAGUAUUUAAAAUAAAAUACUUGUUAAUUUUAGUAUUAAAGGCAAAGCUUGAGUUAAAUAUAGCAGUAGUUUGCUGUGUGAACAAUAAAGUGACUGAGACAUAGACUCUAGCACAGCACAAAGUUUUGAAUCGAAACAAGAGUAAAGAGUUUUUAGUAAACAAGAAGAAAAAGAAGAUGAACUUCA